Molecule: ribosomal RNA, 584 nt
Filed under: Cibicidoides lobatulus
Lineage: Eukaryota; Foraminifera; Rotaliida; Anomalinidae
Description: bacterial SSU rRNA
Rfam family: Eukaryotic small subunit ribosomal RNA
Source: RNAcentral
GGGUCCGGACACACUGAGGAUUGACAGGCAAUAUUAAUACGUUUUGCUUCGGUAAACGCGUAUUAUGUUAAAUAUGCUAGUCCUUUCAUGAUUAUGUGAUAGGUGGUGCAUGGCCGUUCUUAGUUCGUGGAGUGAUCUGUCUGCUUAAUUGCGUUUCACUAAGGGCCUAUAAAUUUACGUGUGUUGCAUCGCACUUUGACCCCUUUCUUUAAUUAGAGAGCGCGUGUCUUAGUUUUCGCUUUGCUCAUACAAUUAGGUCCUGAAAGCAACGAACGUGACCGCAACCUCUUGUUGCCUUUAUACCAAACAUGUUUUGCGUCAAUUUUUACGAAUUGCGCGCAUUUCAUGAAAAAAGGCUUUUUAAACUAGAGGGACCGCUGUUACUUUCUUAAACCAGAGGAAGGUUGCGGCAAUAACAGGUCUGUGAUGCCCUUAGAUGUUCCGGGCUGCACACGUGCUACAAUGAUUAUUGCAGUGAGCAUCUCAUUUUUACACACCGCAUGCGCGAGUCCAUUUAUUCACCUUCGGGUGUNUUAAAUGUGUAUCUCUGCGCGCGGUAAAGCCUGCUUCGACAGUAAGUGGGU